CGGGGCGUAGCGCAGUUUGGUAGCGCGCUUCCUUGGGGUGGAAGAGGUCGUGGGUUCAAAUCCCGUCGCUCCGA
This 74-nucleotide transfer RNA is filed under the name Schwartzia succinivorans DSM 10502. It matches the Rfam family "tRNA". From Rfam's summary of the family: Transfer RNA (tRNA) molecules are approximately 80 nucleotides in length. Their secondary structure includes four short double-helical elements and three loops (D, anti-codon, and T loops). The record is from Rfam by way of RNAcentral. Lineage: Bacteria; Bacillati; Bacillota; Negativicutes; Selenomonadales; Selenomonadaceae.